Molecule: ribosomal RNA, 476 nt
Filed under: uncultured bacterium
Lineage: Bacteria
Description: partial 16S ribosomal RNA
Rfam family: Bacterial small subunit ribosomal RNA
Source: RNAcentral
AACACAUGCAAGUCGAGCGGAGCUCAAAUGCGGAUCCCCUUCGGGGGUGAAACAUCUGAGCUUAGCGGCGGACGGGUGCGUAACGCGUGGGUAAUCUGCCCUUGUCACCGGGAUAACACAUCGAAAGGUGUGCUAAUACCGGAUGAAAUACAGACCUGGCAUCGGGACUGUAUCAAAGUCAUGCGGACAAGGAUGAGCCUGCGUCCCAUUAGAUAGAUGGCGGGGUAACGGCCCACCAUGUCAGCGAUGGGUAGCCGAGCUGAGAGGCUGAUCGACCACACUGGAACUGAGACACGGUCCAGACUCCUACGGGAGGCAGCAGUGGGGAAUAUUGGGCAAUGGGCGAAAGCCUGACCCAGCAACGCCGCGUGAGGGAAGAAGGCCUUCGGGUUGUAAACCUCUGUCCUUGGUGACGAAAAAAAUGACGGUAGCCAAGGAGGAAGCCCCGGCUAACUACGUGCCAGCCGCCGCAGUAA